CUUGGUCAUUUAGAGGAAGUAAAAGUCGUAACAAGGUCUCCGUAGGUGAACCUGCGGAGGGAUCAUUAACGAAUGGCCCUAGGCCUUCAACCUUGUAAACCUGUGGAAGCAAAACGUGCUUUGGCGCUUUCGGGCGCCAACUUUAUGCUUAGAUCAGUCUUGAUGUCUGAAUCAAAAACAAGAAAUAAAACUUUCAACAAAGGAUCUCUUGGCUCUCGCAUCGAUGAAGAACGCAGCGAAGCGCGAAAUGUAGUGUGAAUCGCAGAACAUUGUGAAUCAUCGAAUCUUUGAACGCACAUUGCGCCUCCAGUAACUUGGAGGCAUGCCUGUCUGAGCGUCAUUUAAAACCAUAGACCCUUCUGGGUUUGUAUUGGGCCUCGCCUCCGGGCGUAGCCUCAAAGUCAUCGGUCUUAUACGCGGACGAGCUCCAUUCGGACGGAACGUGUGCAGACCUUAAUACAUCUGACUUGACCUCAGAUCAGGUAGGACUACCGCCUGAACUUAAGCAUAUCAAUAAGCGGAGGA
Molecule: ribosomal RNA, 525 nt
Filed under: uncultured Ascomycota
Lineage: Eukaryota; Fungi; Ascomycota
Description: eukaryotic LSU rRNA
Rfam family: 5.8S ribosomal RNA (bases 189-340)
Source: RNAcentral